AACGAUGAUUCUGCGCAUGUGCACGGCGGGAGGAGAGCGAGAGUUGGAGUUUGCGCAUGCGCGAAAAUGUCGGGCAAGCAAGAGAAGUGGGGGUUAAGAGGCGGUAUUGACAGCUGUGGAGGCAGCCCGCGUUCCCGGCAUGCCCCGGGGCGGCGGGGUUGGCUCUAACGAAUUUGAAUGAGGAGCCUCAGCGCUUUCGGCGCCAUUUUCGAGUGAUGCCUGAUCUCAUCAAUCUAGCGGGAGAGACAGGAUAACCUGUCCGAGAGUAUAGCGCCACUAUGACUCCGCCGGAAAAAUUACUUUAAAAAUCACCAAAAAUUACUUGGAGCAAAGGGCAGUCGGCGGAGCUUUGCCAAGGCUGGCGCAGUCGGUUUUGACCUGUAGCAGAGAACCAAUUCUGGAGAACAGCCUCACUUCUUUGAUUGAAUACUCACAUAAUGCAUUGGAACAUGACAUGAGAUUAAGGUUUAAUAAUGAUAGAAUGAAGACCAUAAUAAAAGAGAUCUCUACUUAGCUCAGCAAUUCUUACCUUUCUUACCUAUUUGAUGAAGAUGUCUUUUGAAAGGUGUACUGCAAGGAACAAAAUGUUUGUAAAUUCUGCUUUUACCAAGGUGGAUAAUUACUGUACCUUCCUCAUGAAAAAAGUUUUAUUUAAAGUGUUAUUUCUCAUUGAAUAUUAUCAAAAAGGAAAAAAAAAAUGACCUAAACUUUUGAGAUAGAUUUGGCUCUAGUGUAAAUUUUGAUACCACCAUUGCCGCCCUCCCCUCAAAAAAGGUGAGACCUGACUAAACUACUGGUACUUAGACCAUGUGCAGAAGGAACUGAAAAUGGAAACAGAAACACGUCUGUACAGAGCAGAGUGUCAGACAAUAGCGCACUUUAGUAGAGGGCAAUAAAUGCCACAUGAGAUGAUCACCUCAGCAGAAAACUGUAAGUAACGGGGACUUGCAGGAGAAUUGAACAGUUGUUUCUGCUGACUCAGUAAAAAUGUCUUCAUUUUAUAAUUUGUGGCCUGCAUGCUUGUAAAUUAAGAUGCAUUGAGUUGUCAAGUAAUGGACUUGUCUGGUUUGUAGGUAGGAAUUUAAGCCAAAAUUGAAUGCAACAUUCCCCCAAAAGUAACCUGGGAUCUGUGCCAUAAAGCCUAAGGCAAAGGUUACAUGAAUUUGGAUUACUAGGUUAGAACUAGGCUAUUGAGCCUUUGCCUAGAAAACCAAUUAGAGGAUUUUAGUCUUGAUAUAGCAGGGAAUAGGGAGGCAUUAUAGCCUAUUGAUUUGUUUGGAAUUAAAUGUGGCAAUACUAUAUAUAGAAAUGUCUAAGAAAUAAAGUAUGGUAGCAAGGAAACUGGGCAUGUGACUAUUGUAGUAAUCUAGGGGUGAAGAAAACCUGAACAGCAAUAGUGGCAUGAGAAUGGAGGUGAAAGAAUAAAUUUAAGAUAUUUCAAAGGAAAAAAUUGUUGAAUAUCAUGAUGGGUUGGAUAAAAGGGAGGUGUAAAAGAUUAUACAUUUUCUGUAAUGGAAGACAAUGGAGUUAUCACUGAAAGAAAGGAGAUAGUUAAGAAACUAGUUUAAGGCUGGGUGCGGUGGCUCAUGCCUGUAAUCUUAACACUUGGGGAAGCAGAGGUGGGUGAAUCACUUGAGGUCAGGAGUUCAAGACCAGCCUGGCCAACAUGGUGAAACCCCACCUCUACUAAAAAUACAAAAAUCAGUCAGACGUGGUGGCUCAUGCCUGUAAUCCCAGCUACUCAGGAGACUGAGGCAGGAGAAUCGCUUGAACCUGGGCAGUGGAGACUGCAGUGAGGCAAGAUCAUGCCACUGCACUCAAGCCUGGGUGAUAGAGUGACUCUGUCAAAAAAAGAAAAGAAAAGAAACUAGUUUAAGAGGGGGAAAAUGUGUUCCAUUUCUGCAAUAUAUUUAAGAUGAUAUUUAGACAUUAAGCUUGAAAUGUCUUCAUUUAAGGUUGCUGGAUAUACAGAACUGGAAUUCUAUGUAAAAGUCAGGCUGGAGACGUAAAUUUGGCAGUUACAUAAGGCUGAUAAGGGUAGAAAAGCUCACUGAAGCUCUUUAAGAAGGACAGUGGGUCCCUUUUAAAAAAAUAUAUGAACACACAUUUAUGUAAAUAAACUAUCAUUAGGUAUGUAAUCUUAAACAUUUCUAGAAUUGAAUAAGAACUCUCCCUUUUUUCCUUAGAGGGUCGUAUCUCAAGCCCGUGCCUGUUAGAAAACCCCUACACUUACAUCAGUUAUGAGAGUCAAUGACUGAAAUGUGUUAAUACUCUUGAACCUUUCCUUCUCUUAAUAAAACCAAGAUCUUUCCCAGUUUUAGGCUAAGGGAAUGAAAUUGAGAACUUAAAGUCAAAUAAUUCAGUCAGUUAAAACUUUAUAAAAUUGACAUGGCUUUAAUUUCUCAAAUGGAAAGUAAGUAAUUGAAUUGGGGGAAGUGUGCUAGUCUCCAGUUUCAAGAAACAGUACAGCACAAAGACCUGGCAUUCUAGCUGAAGAGCUGUAAUAAUAAACAGAAAUUUGAAAACCAGGAAGACAAGUUUUCCAAGAGUGCAACUGUGGCAUUUCAAAGGAGAUUUAACAAGAAAUUCCGGAAGAUGGCCAAAAAUAGGUUUAGAUAAUUGAGAUUCUCUAUUUGAAUACUUGUUUUUGAUGGAGAAACACACUUAAGAGGAAAUGAAGGUUCUGUCUAAGAUCUGAAACUUUUUCUCACCCUAAAGCAGGUUUGCUUCUGAAGAAAACUAUUAGCAAAAAAAAAAAAAAAAAA
Non-coding RNA from Chlorocebus sabaeus (green monkey), 2765 nucleotides. NCBI's taxonomy places the organism in Eukaryota, Metazoa, Chordata, Mammalia, Primates, Cercopithecidae. The record is from RefSeq and is a predicted model, not a curated record.